UUGCUGUUUCCACCACAUCUGUAGAGA
This 27-nucleotide non-coding RNA is filed under the name Homo sapiens (human). Lineage: Eukaryota; Metazoa; Chordata; Mammalia; Primates; Hominidae. The record is from RNAcentral.